AUUGAACGCUGGCGGCAGGCCUAACACAUGCAAGUCGAGCGAGCGGCGGACGGGUGAGUAAUGUCUGGGAAACUGCCUGAUGGAGGGGGAUAACUACUGGAACCGGUAGCUAAUACCGCAUACCAUCAGAUGUGCCCAGAUGGGAUUAGCUAGUAGGUGGGGUAAUGGCUCACCUAGGCGACGAUCCCUAGCUGGUCUGAGAGGAUGACCAGCCAGACUGUAACGGUGACACGGUCCAGACUCCUACGGGAGGUAGCAGGGGGGAAUGUUGCACAAUGGGCGCAAGCCUGAUGCAGCGAUGCCGCGUGUAGGAUGAAGGCCUUCGGGUUGUAAAGUACUUUCAGCGAGAAGGCGUUACUCGCACAAGAAGCACCGGCUAACUCCGUGCCAGCAGCCGCGGUAAUAC
This 406-nucleotide ribosomal RNA is filed under the name uncultured bacterium. RNAcentral's name for it is "partial 16S ribosomal RNA". It matches the Rfam family "Bacterial small subunit ribosomal RNA", at positions 30 to 526 of the family's 1533-position model. The record is from RNAcentral.